UUAAUGGGAGACAACAUUAAUGGCAAACAAUACAAAGUGGUGCAAGUUUAGCACCCUAAAGUUGACUUUGAAAAAGUGGCAUGGGAUAAUUUUUUUGGUCCUUGAGAUAAUGGGCUAUUUAUUGUUUGGUCCUUAAACCUCAACUAUAAAUAGGCCUUCUCAUUUCUCAUUUCAAUUCAUCCCAACCAAUCUUUCUCUCUUAGUUUUCUCUCUUCUCCCAUUUGAGAAUUCUUAAGGAAUUCUAUUUGUUUGUAAUACUUUGGAGAUAGUAAAGUUAUCAUCUGGUGUUAGUGCCCGAGGACGUAGGUAUAAUUUACCGAACCUCGUUAAAACUCUUGUGUUCUUUCUUGUCCUAUUUUUCUUUCAAUAUUUGAGGGUAUAAUAGUAGUAUUUAAUUGUGCUAUUAAAUUACUAUAGAAGGGAUAUUCU
This 429-nucleotide long non-coding RNA is filed under the name Gossypium barbadense (sea-island cotton). Its description in RNAcentral is "long non-coding RNA (GBAR_LNC013132)". Lineage: Eukaryota; Viridiplantae; Streptophyta; Magnoliopsida; Malvales; Malvaceae. The record is from RNAcentral.